Molecule: long non-coding RNA, 912 nt
Filed under: Phoenix dactylifera (date palm)
Lineage: Eukaryota; Viridiplantae; Streptophyta; Magnoliopsida; Arecales; Arecaceae
Description: long non-coding RNA (PDAC_LNC016896)
Source: RNAcentral
AUUUUUUGUCCUUUGUGACUGGGGCACACAUAUAACUUUAGUGUUUUCUAUGGAUCGAUUAUAGUAAUUUCUAUGCUUUUGUUGCUUCUUGCUGUCAACUUUGAAUGAUAUGGUCAGGCCUUUCAUGGUGGAUGUUGUUUGUAGGUCACUGUUGGUCUAGACUGUGGAUGAAAUAGUUUGGUGCUGGAGAUUAUGUUCUCUUCAGCAGCGAUUGAGCGAGCAGCUCUGGAAGGUCUGCUGUUCUGCAGACAAUUGAGCAGCAACAAUCGUUCGAUGGGGGGAGGAGAAUAAGAGACACUGUGGGAUCUUUUCUCCAGGUCGGCUUCUAGUUCUUUUACUCACGAUUUGUUGGUCUUCUCUUUCUUCUUCUCCUUCAACUUGUUGUUGGUCUCCCGGGGGGGUAAAAUCGUCAGCGUGUUGAUCUCUUAUAUUCAUUGUUGGGAAUUGAUUGAAAAUUAAUAAAGUGUUAUUUGGCAUUAUUCAUCAUUUCAUUGUACAUCUUCAAAUGAUCUCUUAUAUGAUGUUCUUAAGACUUAUUUUAUGAUAAAGAAGGAUUUAUGUUCUUAAACCUAUUUGCGACCAAUUGAUAUGCUGUUAAUAGGACAACAGCAUUGUCGAGAUUAGGUCGUUAUGAGACAUAUACGUUGGUUGUCCUCUUAACCAAGGAGUGUGGAGAUACUGAUAUGUUACACAAGUGAAGUGUAGGAGUACAUUUCACUGAACGUGACCAAUUCCGGAACGCUCUACUGUCAAGAGAUGUUCCGAGUGGAUAUGGGUGUAAAUAUCCCUCAGACCUGAGAUCACCACAGUGAUUAGCAAGCAACUUACUGUACUUUGGUACCGAACUAGCAGAAUUUCUAAUUUUGGAACGGAAGGUUACUGGGUGCAGUCAAGUACUUGCGAAAUCAGUGC